GAGGGAGAAAUGGGGGACUGCAGGGGGGCUGUGCACCAUGGCUAGGAGGGGAUACGGAGCAAAACAACCUCAGUCCCCCAUAAAUU
This is a non-coding RNA of Vicugna pacos (alpaca), 86 nucleotides long. Lineage: Eukaryota; Metazoa; Chordata; Mammalia; Artiodactyla; Camelidae. The record is from RefSeq and is a predicted model, not a curated record.